This 80-nucleotide transfer RNA is filed under the name Clathrus columnatus. RNAcentral's name for it is "tRNA-Asn". It matches the Rfam family "tRNA". From Rfam's summary of the family: Transfer RNA (tRNA) molecules are approximately 80 nucleotides in length. Their secondary structure includes four short double-helical elements and three loops (D, anti-codon, and T loops). The record is from RNAcentral. Lineage: Eukaryota; Fungi; Basidiomycota; Agaricomycetes; Phallales; Clathraceae.
UGCCCCAUGGCUUAGUUGGUAAUAGCGUCCGACUGUUAAAUGACAUCGGAAGGUCGUGAGUUCGAGCCUCACUGGGGCAG